Molecule: long non-coding RNA, 411 nt
Organism: Triticum aestivum (bread wheat)
Lineage: Eukaryota; Viridiplantae; Streptophyta; Magnoliopsida; Poales; Poaceae
Exons: 2
Source: RefSeq, a predicted model, not a curated record
AACAACGUACGCACUGAGAAGCCGGGCAGAUGAGAAUAUGCACCGUUCUUCUUCCCUAGCAUUAGCUAUGGCGUUCCUAGCUAUCGUUUACUGUUUCAUGCCGUCGCCAUGCUCAGCAGCGGUCCAAGAAGGUGUAGCUGUUCUGGACGGAUCCCGUACGCAAAUCAUUGGUCCUCGGUCGCCGAGGUACGGGCCGCCGAGGCAGCCAGGCUAUGAGCCACCGGCCGCUGCCGCCACUUAUGCCACACCGUAAGACCAUGUAGGUGGCUGCCAAGGCUCCUCAUGCAUAAAGCAGGCCGAAAAUCAGAGUGUAUACAGUGAUAAAUAAAAUCCAGACGAUUAACUACUGAGAAGUUGUGAUAUUAAUUAUUAGUUGUAAAAGUUAUGAAUAAAGCUAUGUUGUUAUGUUCG